AUUGAACGCUGGCGGCAGGCCUAACACAUGCAAGUCGAGCGGAUGAAGGGAGCUUGCUCCUGGAUUCAGCGGCGGACGGGUGAGUAAUGCCUAGGAAUCUGCCUGGUAGUGGGGGAUAACGUCCGGAAACGGGCGCUAAUACCGCAUACGUCCUGCGGGAGAAAGAGGGGGAUCUUCGGACCUCACGCUAUCAGAUGAGCCUAGGUCGGAUUAGCUAGUUGGUGGGGUAAAGGCCUACCAAGCCGACGAUCCGUAACUGGCCUGAGAGGAUGAUCAGUCACACUGGAGCUGAGACACGGUCCAGACUCCUACGGGAGGCAGCAGUGGGGAAUAUUGGACAAUAGGCGAAAGCCUGAUCCAGCCAUGCCGCGUGUGUGAAGAAGGUCUUCGGAUUGUAAAGCACUUUAAGUUGGGAGGAAGGGCAGUAAGUUAAUACCUUGCUGUUUUGACGUUACCAACAGAAUAAGCACCGGCUAACUUCGUG
This 484-nucleotide ribosomal RNA is filed under the name uncultured bacterium. RNAcentral's name for it is "partial 16S ribosomal RNA". It matches the Rfam family "Bacterial small subunit ribosomal RNA", at positions 30 to 507 of the family's 1533-position model. The record is from RNAcentral.